Mus pahari (shrew mouse) is the source of this 732-nucleotide long non-coding RNA. RefSeq lists it as uncharacterized. The record is from RefSeq and is a predicted model, not a curated record. The transcript is spliced from 3 exons. Lineage: Eukaryota; Metazoa; Chordata; Mammalia; Rodentia; Muridae.
GACUCAUAAAGAGAAGCAGAGGGGGCUGGAAGGAUUUCAUUUCUACAACAAAAUCCCUCUGGGGAAGGUUGCUGCAUUUGGCAGCAGGCAAAGGGCUUCUUGAAGGAAGGAUUUCUGUUCCAGGAGUGAAACAGUUCCCAUGGCAACCAGUCAUCAAGCUCCACUGACCUUUUCUCAGAGACUCUCCACCCUGGAGUCCUUUUGCAUCCUGCAGAAGUGGUAUUUGCAUUUGUGAGCCAGAAAUGCCUGCUCCCUCCUAACCCAGUUAGAGGAUGCUUUCCAAAGGACGCCUUUGGCUGAGGAAAAGAUACACUUUCGAACCUCCGCGCUCCCUAAUCACCUGCUUCCCAAGACAGUUGCUUAGGAUGAAACCACCUGUGAACUAUCUCCUCAUCCGCUCUCCUGAGCCAGAGCAUGCAGAUGCUUUGGACUCUCCUGAGACUAGCCAAAUUCCUAGACAACGGUCUUUGAAGCAUUAUUUUUUUUUCGUGGAGUACCCAUGCCUGAGAACCUAGAAAACAGACAAGAGUAAAGGAAAGAAGAAAUAUAACCAAGCACAAUCUAACAGACACAGGAAGGAACUACUGACAUGUUAGUGUGUUUUCUUCCAAUCUAUUCUUGGGGUUAGAGCUAACUUUAGAGCUGGGAUUGGGACUAGCAUUAGGGUUUCAGGUCUCUUUCUGAUAUACAACUAAUAUUUUACCUUGGAAGUAGUCUGUUAGGACAACUAGA